CACACGGGAGGGGGGAGGGAAAAAGAAGAAGGGGUAGGGAAGAAGAAGGGAAAAAAAGGAAGAGAGGGAAAAGAGGGACAGCGCUGGCGAGGUUUAGAGCCGCCGUCGCCAUCGGGAAUAAGAACCAGAAGGAGAGAGAGCUCGCUAGGGAGAGAGGAGACGUGACUUCAUCGAACUCACCAAGAAGGUCCAUCUCCUCUGCGACAACCUUUGCUUCAUCAUCCGCGCCGCCACUGUCCAACCCUUAAUGAGCGUUCCCUUAACCGCACUCUCACCCUUCUACGCCGUUGCUACCACAACGACGAUGUCCUCGACCAAGUCUUUACCAUCACCACCACCGCUGAUUUUCUCAAGGAGAGGAUCAGAAUAAGAGUAAUGUUGCAAAUAAGAGAAUGAGUGUGACGAACCUAACCCUAGUUUUCUGCUGCCGUUCAUCUUCUCACCACCGCUCAGCUCUAAGUUGCCGUAAGCAACAUUAUCAUUGUUGUUGCCUUUCUACGGAGGUUCUAGAUCUGCUUCUCUGGCUUCGAUUUGAGGUUUUAUCGCCGUCGUUCAUCUCCGCCGCCAUUCAUUUGCUCGGCACCGCUCAGCUCCAAGUUGCCGUAAGCAACGUUAUCGUUGUUGCUGCCUUUGGCGAAGGUUAUAGAUCUGCUUCUCUGGCUUCGAUUUCAGGUUUUUAUCGACGUUCAUCUCCUCGCUGCCGUUCAUCUGCUCGUCGCCGUUCAUCUCCUCACCGCCGCAAGCAACAGCGUUGAUGUUGCCUUCGGUGGAGCUUCUGCGAUCUAAUUUUUUGCUUUGAUUUGAGGGUUUGCUUUCUGUUCACAACCAUUCAUCAUCUCCUCGCUACCGCAAGCGACGCCGUUGUUUCUCUCUCUGGAGGAGCUUCUGAGAUCUAGUCCUUUGGCUUCAAUUUGCAGAUUCAAUCUGGUUCUCUAGCUGUGAAGCUAUUGUUGCUGCCUCCAACUAAGCUUGUAUGAUUUGGUUCUACCAUCCAUAUCAAUUCACAGUAAUCUACUUCAUCUUCUUUUUUUGAUUUUCCUCCUCCAUACGAUUAAAAUAGUGUUAACUAAUUUAAAUUACAUGAUUAAUGUGCAAUUAAUUGAUGAUUACCUUACGAAUAACUAAACACCAAAGCGAUUACGCAAGUGAUCGUUGAAGAGAAUUAAUUAUUUAAUUAAUUAAUUAAAGAAAUUAUGGCGGAGGAAAUUAGAUUCUUCGAGCUGAACACAGGUGCCAAGAUACCUUCUGUUGGAUUAGGAACUUUUCAGGCUGAAAAUCCAGGAGCCUUGGCCAAAGCAGCUACCACCGCUAUCAAGGUUGGAUACGGACAUAUCGAUUGUGCUUCAUCUUACGGCAAUCAAGUAGAGUUAAUAAUCAUUAGUUUACUGAAUGAUUAUGAAUUUAUGAUCUUACCUCUUACUUGCAUAUGUUCUGUUAUUUAUAGAUUUUUGACUUAUUCUUAAUUUUUGCUUAUGUUAGCUGGUGAAUUUGUUUAUCUUUGGUAAAGUGAAGUGCUCGAUGUGUUUGUUAAUUAAUGUUUGCUAGUAAACUUCUUGCUUUGAAAAUAAAAAUAAAAUAAAAUUGGAAUCUUGGUCUCUGUAGAUUGGUUCUGUUCUCAAGAAGCUUUUUGAUAAGUUGAGAUCUCAAUAGCUUGACAUACAUUAUUCAAUUCCAAAGGUAGUUACUGCUAUAUUCUUCCUUUGUCAGUUUCUUUGUGUUCCAAGUUCUUUUGCUUUGCUUAUAGUUUUAUCUUUAGUUGAUGGCAUUUUAGACAAUGCUCCAAAAAAGGAUAUUUGGUCAUGGUGGUGUGAUGAUAUCUGGUCUUGAUUCAUCUGUUUCAAAUGACGAACUUAAGCAUAUUUUUGGAUUAUAUGGAGAAAUUAAAGAAGUAAGUUUUAAUUCUGAUUUUUCACCUUUUUUGCAUCAUGUGUCUUACCAAGAAUUAUUUUGGCAUUAGUAAUUAUUGUGUAAUGGCAAAUCUAUGAAUCUCUUGAAGUGAAUAUUAAGCAAACGUGAUAUGGUAACCAAUGGUUGUAUAUAUACAUAAAUCCAAUAAUCAUACUAAAAAAGUAGUCCACCCUACUUAUCAUAUUCAUGUAGAUCAUGGAAUAUAUGCGUGUAGUAAGAACAAUCAAAUUCAAAAAGGAUAGAAUCUUCACUCUCCAGCUUUAUUGCAACUACCAAAUUCUUCAAAGCCUUCCAGGACACUACUCUUAAUUAGGGGGGAGGGCUUUAAUUAGGGCUCCUAAAAUAAAGAUUGUAUUCUUAACUAACAUUAAUUUAGGAAAUCAUAAUUAAAUUGUUCAGUUUGAUUCUUAUUAUUAGUAAACCUAAUGAAUUUGCCUUUUUUUAUUAUUAGUUUAAUGAUCAACAAUUACUUACCCAUAUUGAUAUUUGAUCUAUGAUCGAUUUUGGAAAUGAUGAUCAUAGCCUACCCUAUAAUUUUAGUUAAGGUUGCUAGAAUAAUAAAAAUGCAUUAUAUUAUAACAAGUUCCUAAUUCAUGUCAUGAUAAAUUCCUUACCUGUAUAAUUUUGUAUCUUGUGCGUGCCACAUUUAUUUUUAUUAUUAUAUCCUUAAAAUAAAUAAAUAUAAUAUUUAUAAUGAGUAGUAUAGUCAUACACUUAAGUUUGGAAUCAUUCGUACCCAAAUUUGAAGCUAACCUUGCUCAGUUCUGUGAAAAAUUGGUAAGCUACCUACAUGUUUCUUGACAGUCAAUUAAGUUUAUUCUCUUCUAUAUGUUAAUGAAUAAUUUCAAUUUUUAUAAUUACAGGUAAUGGACUUGGAUAGAAGAGUAAGACGUGGGCAAGAACGCCUUGCUCAAGAGGCUGCCAAAGAGAAGGCUGUUGAAGAAGAGUGAAGGAAACAGAAGGAGAAGGAUCAUGAGAGAAGACUAUACAAUCUCCAAAAAAGGGUUGAGGUAGGUAUUUUACUGUUGUAAUUUUUUCCUCUUGCAUGAUUGAACUCUGAAAGUGUAGUCCAGUCUUUCCUAAAUAUAUCUGUCAUGGUUGAGAGAGGUAUAUUGGGUUUGAAAUUGCAGCAGAACCAUUUGAGAGCCCUCCAUUUCCCUUAGCUGCAGAGAGAACAAGAAGAAAAGACCCUCUUGAUGGCUUCUAUCAUUCUCUACAGAACAAGAAUCUCUUACUUCAUUAAGGAUGCAAUUCCAUUGAGCCAGCAAUUGGAACACUACAAAGAAUGUCAGAAUAUAUUGGUGGAAGUAGCAGGACAAUCAAAUGCUUCAUCAAUCAUAUCUGGUGCUACACAUCUUGUUAGUGCUGGCAACAGUGACUUCAUUCAGAAUUAUUACAUAAACCCUCUGCUUAACAAGGUUUACACUGCUGAUCAGUUCUCUGAAAUUCUCAUGCAACACUAUUUUCAUUGGAUUAUUGAUAUUCAUCUUUAUACCCUAAAUAUUAUAUAAAAACAAAAAAAAUGAAUAUAUAAUAGAGUCCCGUUAUUAUUAUGUCCUUAA
Non-coding RNA from Arachis ipaensis, 3470 nucleotides. Lineage: Eukaryota; Viridiplantae; Streptophyta; Magnoliopsida; Fabales; Fabaceae. The record is from RefSeq and is a predicted model, not a curated record.